GCAGAGCGCGCGGCCGCGCGCCGUUCAAUCAAUAAUCACGCAUUUCCACUGAAUAAAAAUCAUUUCCCUAUUCCGGUACCAUAUAAAACAAUAUACCACAUACAAAUAUAAAAUCCCCGAUAUUAAAUAGUGUUCAAAAUGUAUAUAAACAGUGAUUUAUAAAUUGUUUUCGCGAAGUGCGACGCAGUUUCGUUUGGGAGGUACUAGUGUUCUCUACAUAACUGCCGAAUCUAUCGGCGAGUGUGAUAACUUUCGCUUGAUGAAGUGAACUGCUACCAAAUGGACCUUGCGGUGAACUUGGAUCGGGAGGAUUACAGGAUGGCGCCGCCGGCUUCCUGCAUGGGCACGGAGCAUGGCUGCGUCAUGUUCGACUGUUUGGUGCAUCUGUGGGAAUGGAUUGACCCGCCAGCCGCGCAGACAGAAUACCAAAUGGAGAACAAAAAGAAUGUCACAGCAACACAGCAACCCCUCACGCAGCAGCACAUCAUGGCGCACCACGUGCACCCCGACCAAAUAUACUCCUCUCAACACCCACAGUUACCUGCGCACGUAAACAACCAAAUACAGCCGAAGGUUCAAUCUGCGCAAAUUCAACCGAAUGGCGUCAUGCACCAACUAUUGCAAAGUCAAUAUCAAUCGAACAUGAACGCACGAUCGCCGCUCCUAGAAAACAGGCACGAAAUGUAUGGCACCGGACACAAUCACGAUUAUGCGAGACAUUACGGUGCUAACGACAAUUAUAAUUAUCCACAGUCACCACCUCGGCUCGAAAGAACAGAAAUCCAUACUGAUCACAAUGUAAAUCAUGAACUAUUGCAUAAUAUUCCAAAAGGAUACAACGCAGAAGUAUAUCAAGACUAUUUAAAACGUAACCCACCGAAAGAUAAUAACCAAAUAUAUCAAAACCAUCAACCUAAUAUUAAUCAAUAUAGACCUAAUGUAAAUCAGUACGGCACGAAGCCGUAUCUUCCCUAUUCGAAUCGAAUAGGGCCCCAAAGUAACACUGAGUUAUUAAGAAAGCAGUAUAAUGAAAUACAACAAAUGAAAAUGCAACAGCAAAUGCAUUAUCAGAAUCAGGCUCAAAUGCAUCAACAACAGAAGUUUGCGGAGCGACAAAUUUUAUUACAGCAAAUACAUGGUGUUCAACCACCACCUAACUUACAGAAUAGUAUAUAUUCUGAUAGUUCUUAUAGAGAUCUAGAUCGAUAUAGUAGUAAAAAUGACUUUAAGGAAUACAGUAGUACGGAUUUGUCGAAAGACUUCGAUAGGUACGGUAAACAUAAUGAUUACAGUGACCUACAAAAUAGACAAUAUCAAGAGAAUCAUUGGCAAUCAAAUCAAAAUGAUUUCCGGGAAGUAGAUAGGCAGAGACCUGAGCAAGACAAGGCAAAAAGUAACUCUCCGCCAUCAGAUAAUAAUCAAAGAAGUACAGAUAUUAUAUCUCCAAUGAAAUCUAGUGAGUCUAGUACACCUAGUAUAAAGUCACCCUCAUCAGACAGUCGACGCAGUAGUAGCGGGACUCAGGCAUUGCGAUCUCCAUCUGCCCAACGUAUACCAUCAGCUCCGGUGACUUUGUCUGGGUUGCUAUACAAACAAGGAUCUGAUGGCCUAAAGGUUUGGCGGAAGAGGUGGUUUGUUUUGUCAGAAUACUGUCUAUUCUACUACAAAAGUCAAGAUGAAGAAAAGCUUUUAGGGUCUGUCCUAUUGCCCUCGUAUAAGGUCUCAGCGUGUAGCGCAGAGGACAAAGUGAUGCGGAAGUUUGCGUUCAAACUGGAACAUGCAAAUAUGAGGACAUACGUGUUGGCGGCUUUGGAUCCGGAAGCCAUGAUGAAGUGGGUGAAGGCGCUCACAAUGGCAGCUAUUAUGCAAACAUCCAAUGAGCAGCCACAAAAGCAAAUCGAUCGCGCAGCUGCAAAAACAGAGGAAGGCGAUGAUGCUGGACCUACGUACGCCAAUGCGCCACCUAAGCCCAGACGAGCAAACGAUGGAUAUAAUUCACCCAGCCCGGAUAUGUACGAUCCAAAUUACGAUCUACUCAAAAAACCUGCAUCACACUACAGUCAAGGCACCAGUCAUACUCGAUACCAGGACACAACCUACAGCACAAAACAGGAGAUUUACACACGCAGCCCGCAAUCACCGCCCUCGCAACCAACUUACCAUACAAAAAGACCUUACGACACGCAGCAACUAUCAUUACCAUUAUCCAAGACAGCUUUUGACAAUUCAGAAAAAUCUCCAAACACUCCAUCUAUCAAUAAAUCUAAUCCUCAAUCUCCCUAUUUCGAAAAUAGGUCUAGAAAUCAGCAGCAACACUCUCAAGAAGACAAAAUUGAAAACUUAUAUGAAAAGAAACCUGGUUAUAAUCCUUUUCUUGAAGAUUAUGGACAAAAUAAGAAAGACGAUGAAAGGAGUAGGCCUAUUGAAUCGAAUAAAACAUCAAUUUACAAUGAAAGCUACCCUGAAUCUCGAACCAAUUCCAAAACUUACGUUGAUGCUAAUGUUUACGGUAGAGAUGUGUAUGGUGAUGUUAAUACAAAGGCGAGUAAAACGAGCACGUUAAAUGAACGACUAGCUGAGAGGCGAACACCUGAUGCAUAUGGCAGAUCAACAGCUAUGUCUGCGUAUAACACUGAAAAAAUUGGAGACUAUGAAGAUAUUUAUGCGGCAUACGGAAAUGAUGCUGGAAAAGCAUAUGCAAAGUCCCCAAAUCCCUCCCAUUCCCGGGAUACAAUUAGUUUAUCUAGCCAUAAAUCGCCCCAAGAGCAAGUUACUAACACGAUUCCAGAAAAAACAUUUAGUGGGCCAUCAGUUUUGCGAAGGAAAAAAAUGCAAGCGAGUGGUAUUCAACCCCCGAUGCCACGCCCCCAUAGCGCAGAUUUUCUCGAAUAUGAAUCCAAAAACGAAACUCUUUAUAAUGUGACGCCAACACGAAACACGCACGAUCCACCUAAACAACCACCACGUCCAAAAUCUAGUCUAGACAUAAACUCCUAUUAUGAUCCUAGUUCAGAUAAAUAUUAUUCUGAGGAAAGUUAUGCACAAAAAAUGCGACAAUCGGCACAAUAUUUGCAACAACAGGGCACACGGCCAAGAAAUAUACAAAUACCAUUAGAAAAAUAUGCAAGUGGACUUGCUGAAAAACAAUUACAUUCCCCAUAUAUGCACCCUAACAAUAAUAACUAUGAAACUGAAUUUAGCAAUAAGAAUAUUCGUGAUAAUGUUAGUUAUAAUUCAAAAUAUAGCGAUCUUGAAGCUUUACAUUCUAAUUGGACAUUGAAAGAAAAAGAUUUGGAAGCCCAAAAAGAUUAUUUAAACAGAAGUGGUAGUGUGAUGAGCGAUGGUUCACAAAUCAGUGCGUAUGUAAAGGAUGUUGGGAAAUUUGAUCCAGGGAUAGAUGGAUUUAUGCGAUCCGCAAGCGCUAGGUUGCCAUCAUCUGCUGAAAGAGAAGGAGAAAAGAAAGUACAACAGCGUGAAGAAUCAAUGAAAAGACUGCUUGAAUGGAAGCAGAGAAUGUUACAGUCUCCACUGACAAGAAAAAGUACUCCAGCUGCUAUUUCAUUAAAUAGAUCAUUGAAUCAAAGUCGCCAAUCAUUAAGAUCUGACCAGUACAAACCUAAAACUUAUAAAAAUGCUUCAUAUAACAGCUAUUCUUCAGAUGAUGAAGCUUCUAUGACAAUGUCAGGCACAAAUAUAGAACCAGGCUCAAAGAAUAAUAAUAACAAUAACCAAAUAAACCAGCAAACUUUGUCAAAAAAAGCAUUUCUUGGAAGUAACACGUCGAUUGGUAGAAGUAAUAGGGAUGGUACUAUACCAGUAAGAGCUGUAAGCCCUAGAGUAAGAUGGGUUGAAGAGAAACCCACUAAUGAACAUUGUUCGCAGCCGAUCACAGCAUCACAACAAAAUUUGAAUACAUUAACGGGUUCUGAGGAUGUAUGGACGACAGUAAGGUCACCAUCGAGAACUUUACAACAACCAAUAAGAGCCGUUAGUCCUAGGAUUAGAAGAAACAAUAACAACGACAACAACGAUACGCGUAAGGAGGUCCAUAAUCAAGAAUCAAGUGAAAUACCAACGGCCGGUGAGCUUUUGGGAAGAAGUCACGAGGAGCUAGUUUUGCUCUUGAUUCAAUUAAGAAGACGUCACGCAGCAACUCAUCGUUCUAUUGAGCAAUGCUGUGUUCAGAUUAGUAGUAUAGAGGAUUGUCUAAGUUCACUCAAAGCCAUUGAACGGGAAGAAAACUUACAACGUUUGGAACAGUUAAAGACUCAACUCAUGGAGUUAGAGAACCAUUAUGAAAAAAGUAAGCCGUUAGUGCAAUUGGUUGAUAAUAUGGUGAAACUUGGAUCUUUGUAUAAUAGACCAGGUUCUACGAUAGAACGAUUGGAGCGAAAUCAGAGGCUGAGACAAAAAGUUCUUGCAGAACAUGCUAUGGAACAACAAAGAUGGCUCGAAAGUGCCGCAGCAGGCAAACCCUUAGAAACAGAAGCGGCAAGAGUCAGAGUUGCUGAACUAUGGGCAUUGGAACAGGAACUAGCAGACGAGGCAGCCAUUCUUCAAGGUCUUAAAACUGACAAAGAUGCUAUUGACUCAUUGUUGACAGGUGUUCGCAGUAAGCUGGACAGCGUAAACAUUGGUUCCCGAGCUCAGCCUUCAGGCUUGGAGGCGGAGUUGGCGCGAGUGCAUGCCAUGCUGGCGCACAAUUCUAAGGUUUAUAAGAAACUAGAGCAAACGGUAGCGGACAAUGCACGUUUGGAAAGGGAACUGCAUCACCUCCGCCGCGCCCUGCGAGCUCAGCGCGCUAACAUUCAUGCCCAAGCUUCGCAUAACAUGCCACCAUCGCAUCCCACUGCUAUGCUAGAGGAUGAAGUGACACGAGUACAACAGUUGGUGUCAGCUUUACAGCGUCAGCGUCAGGAGCUGAGCCGCGCGGUGCGUCACCUCACGCAGCAGUCCCACGCCUUGCAGAUCACUCAUGAUUCUAUGCCUGGCAAACGUCGUCCAAUGUCGUCUUGGCAAGAAACGAAUCUGGAUACAGGCCAUACUAUCGACCACGGGCAAUCCGACUAUGACUACGACUCGCAAGGACCAGUAAUGCCCCCGGGACACUAUCCACCGAGCGUGGAGACGCCGCUGUAUGUUGAUACUAGAGCACCCGGCAUGGAUGUCGCGUCACCAAUAAACAGCGAGGACAUGCAACACACUGCUUUUGGUAACCUCACUAAUGUAGAAAAACAAGAGAUCAAAACAGUGCGAAUUGUGAAACGGGAAAGCGAAAGGCGACAAAGAGAUCGCGACCGGUCUUUACAACCAUUAUCCGAUUGGUCCAGCAACCAUAUCACUGCCAACAUAGAUCAAUUUUUAGAAGAAGAAUUAGUGCAACCAAUUAAUAACUACAGAGCGUCUUCUUUACCUAGAACUGAGUAUAGCAAAUAUGAAGAAUAUUAUUCCAAGCCUCAAUACGCAGAUUCUGUAAAUUAUAUCGGGAUGAACGAAAAGAACAUGCAACAGAGUCCUAAAUAUCCCUCAAGCCCUUCGUUGUCUAAUUAUGAUUAUUCAAGAGAUAUUUCAUCUUUAAGCAGUAGCUAUCACAAAACUUAUGACAGAUCUGCUGGUUAUGAUCGUACCAUAUCUUUGUCAACCCAAUAUCUCAAUAGCCCAACAGAUAGUUCAAGGACUUUGACUAACGAUCCCAUGUCAAAAACGAGCAGUAUUGUAAGCUUAACGAGAUCCAAUAUGGAAUUGUCUCCUAUAUUUAAAAGUGAAGCUGCUAAACAAAUUAUUACGGAGGUGUCAGGAGAACCUAAAAAUGGCUCUUUACAUAGACGACAAGUACCAAAAGAGAAGAGGAGGCACUAUACCGCACCGCACCAUUUGAGCGCCAAAACUCUUAAUGAAAUGCCUAAGGAUGCUUACAAUCAAGAUGCUCUGGGAAGGUCACUGGACGACGCAGACAUGGAACGUGCACUUCGCGGUGCUGCUCCAGAUGUGGUGCGCUCGGCUCUACCGGCGAGAAGGUUACCAGACUCCAUAGAUCAGCUCUUGGCUGCUCCUCAGAAGAUUAUUAUACCAGAACGAUACAUACCUGAGAAGCCUCCAGAACUAUCUCCGGAAGAACAGCAGAAACGUCAAGAGAAAGUCGAAUCAAUUAAAAAGAUGCUCUCGAGUUCUUCUGCUGACCCUAGCAAGAGCCCAGACGGACAGGAGAAGCGACAGCGCGAGCACUUGCUCCAGAUGAACCAGAUCCUUGCCAAGCAGGUCACCGAGAUGAGCAAAAUCAUAGCUGGAACCAACACCGAUGGACCGUCCAACGCAAACAACUAAUCACCGCCCAAAAUCCCAGCAUCCUCUAAUUCCACGUACAAUUUAGCCAAAGACACUGUUUUAGUAAAAUCAUACGUCAUUUAAUGACUUUAACCUAUCGUUAUCACAAUUCACACAAUACCUAUAACCUAUAGUCCAUGUCUAGUACUUUAUCCCAUUCCUGAACUAGCGGUCUUGAAGAUUCAUCCAGUUUGCAGCAUGGUUUCCGUUUUUAUUUUGCAUUUUCUUUUAAAGCAUUAGAAGAACUACCUCUGCAAGAUAAUAUGGAUGACUACGAAGAUCGUUCACCAGACGUCGAACUGCCAAUAUAUCAACAAAGAGACAAUUUCUUCACAUGAACAUUCACAUAGUCUAAACAAAUCUUCGGAUAUCUUGAAUGCCCCAUAUACGGCCUUUAUAUCGGCUUCUUAAAAUAUGCAUUAGAAUUUUGGACUUUUGAAUUUUAGGAUGUUUCUCAUAAACCUCCUAUAAAUAAAUAUAAAUCCAGCAAUAGGUAAUAUUAUAUCAACCUUAGAAAUGUUUGAUUAUUUAGAAUUUAUUACUUAAACAAAGACCUUAUUAGUUUAAAAGUGAAAAGAUUUCUAAUGGAGAUGAUUAUAAUAUUCAAGGUGUAUUGAUGCAACCUUUAUGACGUCUCGGAAACAAGCUGCAGAUGUCGGUCGUACAUAAAAUACGCAAAAACAAGACGCGCGCGUGGUGUAAUCCUGCCGCCGCGCCAUUACGUUACCGCUGACAUCUAAAAUCUUGUAUUGUGCAGUUUAACGUGAUGUUACUAAACGUCAUAAAGAUUGCAUCCGACUACACCUGAUACCUAAUAUUAUUUUAAGUAGGUACACGUUCCACAUAAUUAAAAAGCGAUACUUAGCGAUAUUGUGCGAGUAUUUUAAUCGAGUAACAGUAAGAGGUGCGUGGCUGUUCAAUUAAACACAUCAUAUAAUUGAUGAUUAUUAUUAUUCGUAAAGGAGAAUAAAAUUUAAAAAUACAGAAAUGUUACUUAUAUUAAAAAUGCGAAAGUUAAAGAAUAUUCAUAUGUUACUCAUUCACGUCUGGAACCUCGCGGAUCUAUAAACAUAACAAUUGGCGUACCUAAAAUACUUCUUUAUUAAAAAGGCUACUAGUAUAACCGAGAGGUACAGCCAUAGUACAUGUUAAUAUUAUCCACAAAAAAUCAUUAAGUGAGACGCCAAAUAUACUAAAUAGUCACGUACCUAUCUAAUUUUAAAGAUAGUACGUUUAUUAUCACUGAUUAGUGUAGAACUCAGUGUACUAUUUAUAUUAUUAGAUGAUAUUAGAAAGUGAAUAUUACGUGACACAUUAAAUAUCUUGGUAAAGUAAAUGUACUUGAAUAUAAUGACUAGAGAAGAGAAAUCGCUUUCACAAACCCUACUGCCGACUGGUACGCUUCUGCUUGGAAACAUAUCAUGUCAUAUCUUUAGACAUGUAAUAUAUAUGACAAAGUAUGCUUUAGACUUAACAUAUUUCAUUUAGCAAUUGCUCAAUUUACAAUACAAAACAUUCCGUUUAAAGUUUUCUAUUAAUGAAAAAAAAAAAAAAAAAGGUGUUGUACGCUGUAUUGUUUAAUUUAUGGGCCAGUUUACAAUUAAAUAGAGUAAAUUCAAAAUAUAAAAAUUUUCAUGAUCAAAUUAAAUGAUUAUAAAUAUAAUAUGAUACAUAACACGUUAUUAACGAAAUCAAAUCCAGUGUGUUAUGCAAUCGUUUAAUAUUUAUAAAUAUAAUUGUAAUACAAUAUAGUCUUCUAUAUAAAGGGCCUUCAAUUGUUAUUUUAGAUGUAAGGUUAUAUGACUUACAAUGUAGUGUAUUUAUAAAUCUAUAAAAAAAAUGAUGCCAUGUUAAACGAAAGUACUUAAUAUUGUAGAUAAAGCACAUGUUUUAUUUUAAUUUUGGAACGAAUGAAAAUGCGUUUUAGUAUUAUUUCGUUUAAAAUAAUUACCCUUGUAAUAUUGGUUAUUUAUAAUAUAAAUUAAUUUUAUUAACCAUCUAUAGUUAUUUAAGUGAUUGUUUAUUUUUUAUUGUGUAAUAUAUUUGUUGUACCGAAUUAAAUCGUACCCGUAUUUGCACAUAGUCAAUUGUAGGAAACCAAAACUUCUUAUGAAUAUAACAAAGUAUUUAUCAAUACUUGUAAUAUUUUAUGUAUUGUAACACAUAUUGUUCGAAUGCUUCACGUGUUAUUUCAAAGAAGCAACGAAUUUGGAACACUUGUGAUAUUCAUAAAUAUACCUGAUUUUUUAAAUAUCACAUGCCUACAUCUUUCAAAAUAGGUGAUAUGUGAAUAAUUGUUUAGAUGUAGCUUUUUAGAAUAUGACUGUAUUAGCCUAUAUAAGCUUUAAACAUUGAAGUUAACCUCUUAAACACCGAUUUAAAAUUUUUAUUCAUAUUUAAUUAUGCUUCAUGUAAUUUUUCAGAUCAAUUUCCAUGACCCUAUAAAAAAGCUCGUGCGCUGUAGCAAGGUGCGGGUGACAGUUCAUUUUACUCUUCAAAGUUUGUCGCGAUUCACGAUAAUAGGCAAACAUCAUAGGGCAACUGUCACUCGCACCAAGCUACAGCGCACGAACCAUAGUUUUGUUUCGUAAGAUUUUAUUUUACUUAUUUUAAUUUUUAAUUUUGACAUAAUUUUAUACAAUCUAUUUAUUUUUGCUAUAUUACAGUUAACAUUUUAUUUUAUCAUAAUUAACAACAAAUUUAUUUUGCUUUAACAUUUAUUAUAAUUUUUAACAUUUUCAUUAAAUAAAUUAUCGUUUCAUCGUUUCGCUUCGCAUCGUAUAAUGGUGUGGCGUCGGCAUCUGUGUUCCAUAUAACAAUACGAUAUCCUAUUAAGCUUAAUUGUUAUAUUAAUAAAUUCGUAUAUACAAAAAAUAAUAAUUUCCUAGUAAAUAUAUAGACUGAAAUAGUUUUUGCCUUAAAUCCUCUUGAGAAUUUCCUAAACCUGUAUUGUUUAUAUUAUAAUAUCUAUCUAUAAUGUCAAUUAUGUACUUAUUUUAUCUAUCUAUCUGAAUAAAGAAUUAAUAUCG
This is an RNA transcript of Bicyclus anynana (squinting bush brown), 9353 nucleotides long. RefSeq lists it as uncharacterized. The transcript has 24 exons. The record is from RefSeq and is a predicted model, not a curated record. NCBI's taxonomy places the organism in Eukaryota, Metazoa, Arthropoda, Insecta, Lepidoptera, Nymphalidae.